AGAAAGGUCCUAAUAAGGACCAACAAUAUAUUUAAAAUGAAAUUUU
Molecule: non-coding RNA, 46 nt
Organism: Xenopus tropicalis (tropical clawed frog)
Lineage: Eukaryota; Metazoa; Chordata; Amphibia; Anura; Pipidae
Source: Rfam